GGACUACUAGGGUAUCUAAUCCUGUUUGCUACCCACGCUUUCGUGUCUCAGCGUCAGUUACCGUCCAGAUAGCCGCCUUCACCACAGGUGUUCCUCCUGAUAUCUACGCAUUUCACCGCUACACCAGGAAUUCCGCUAUCCUCUCCGGCACUCAAGCCUUCCAGUUUUCGGCGCACCCUCCCAGUUAAGCCGGGAGAUUUCACACCAAACUUAGAAAACCGCCUACCCACUCUUUACGCCCAGUAAUUCCGAACAACGCUCGCUGCCUACGUAUUACCGCGGCGGCUGGCAC
This 292-nucleotide ribosomal RNA is filed under the name uncultured Acidobacteriota bacterium. RNAcentral's name for it is "uncultured Acidobacteria bacterium partial 16S ribosomal RNA". The record is from RNAcentral. Lineage: Bacteria; Pseudomonadati; Acidobacteriota.